RNAcentral lists this ribosomal RNA (970 nucleotides) under Psychrobacter sp. BTN18. RNAcentral's name for it is "bacterial SSU rRNA". It matches the Rfam family "Bacterial small subunit ribosomal RNA", at positions 56 to 1018 of the family's 1533-position model. Lineage: Bacteria; Pseudomonadati; Pseudomonadota; Gammaproteobacteria; Moraxellales; Moraxellaceae. The record is from RNAcentral.
UGCAAGUCGAGCGGAAACGAUGAUAGCUUGCUAUCAGGCGUCGAGCGGCGGACGGGUGAGUAAUACUUAGGAAUCUACCUAGUAGUGGGGGAUAGCACGGGGAAACUCGUAUUAAUACCGCAUACGACCUACGGGAGAAAGGGGGCAGUUUACUGCUCUCGCUAUUAGAUGAGCCUAAGUCGGAUUAGCUAGAUGGUGGGGUAAAGGCCUACCAUGGCGACGAUCUGUAGCUGGUCUGAGAGGAUGAUCAGCCACACCGGGACUGAGACACGGCCCGGACUCCUACGGGAGGCAGCAGUGGGGAAUAUUGGACAAUGGGGGAAACCCUGAUCCAGCCAUGCCGCGUGUGUGAAGAAGGCCUUUUGGUUGUAAAGCACUUUAAGCAGUGAAGAAGACUCCGUGGUUAAUACCCACGGACGAUGACAUUAGCUGCAGAAUAAGCACCGGCUAACUCUGUGCCAGCAGCCGCGGUAAUACAGAGGGUGCAAGCGUUAAUCGGAAUUACUGGGCGUAAAGGGAGCGUAGGUGGCUCGAUAAGUCAGAUGUGAAAUCCCCGGGCUCAACCUGGGAACUGCAUCUGAUACUGUUGAGCUAGAGUAUGUGAGAGGAAGGUAGAAUUCCAGGUGUAGCGGUGAAAUGCGUAGAGAUCUGGAGGAAUACCGAUGGCGAAGGCAGCCUUCUGGCAUAAUACUGACACUGAGGCUCGAAAGCGUGGGUAGCAAACAGGAUUAGAUACCCUGGUAGUCCACGCCGUAAACGAUGUCUACUAGUCGUUGGGUCCCUUGAGGACUUAGUGACGCAGCUAACGCAAUAAGUAGACCGCCUGGGGAGUACGGCCGCAAGGUUAAAACUCAAAUGAAUUGACGGGGGCCCGCACAAGCGGUGGAGCAUGUGGUUUAAUUCGAUGCAACGCGAAGAACCUUACCUGGUCUUGACAUAUCUAGAAUCCUGCAGAAGAUGCGGGAGUGCC